UACGUAGGGUGCAAGCGUUGUCCGGAAUUAUUGGGCGUAAAGAGCUCGUAGGCGGUCUGUUGCGUCGGCUGUGAAAACCCGGGGCUCAACCCCGGGCCUGCAGCCGAUACGGGCAGACUAGAGUUCGGCAGGGGAGACUGGAAUUCCUGGUGUAGCGGUGAAAUGCGCAGAUAUCAGGAGGAACACCGGUGGCGAAGGCGGGUCUCUGGGCCCGAUACUGACGCUGAGGAGCGAAAGCGUGGGGGAGCGAACAGG
RNAcentral lists this ribosomal RNA (255 nucleotides) under uncultured bacterium. Its description in RNAcentral is "partial 16S ribosomal RNA". It matches the Rfam family "Bacterial small subunit ribosomal RNA", at positions 524 to 776 of the family's 1533-position model. The record is from RNAcentral.